AGAGUUUGAUCCUGGCUCAGAACGAACGCUGGCGGCAGGCCUAACACAUGCAAGUCGAGCGCGCCUUCGGGUGAGCGGCGGACGGGUUAGUAACGCGUGGGAACGUGCCCUUCUCUACGGAAUAGCCUCUGGAAACGGAGAGUAAUACCGUAUACGCCCUUUGGGGGAAAGAUUUAUCGGAGAAGGAUCGGCCCGCGUUAGAUUAGGUAGUUGGUGGGGUAAUGGCCUACCAAGCCUACGAUCUAUAGCUGGUUUUAGAGGAUGAUCAGCAACACUGGGACUGAGACACGGCCCAGACUCCUACGGGAGGCAGCAGUGGGGAAUCUUAGACAAUGGGGGCAACCCUGAUCUAGCCAUGCCGCGUGAGUGAUGAAGGCCUUAGGGUCGUAAAGCUCUUUCGCCUGUGAUGAUAAUGACAGUAGCAGGUAAAGAAACCCCGGCUAACUCCGUGCCAGCAGCCGCGGUAAUACGGAGGGGGUUAGCGUUGUUCGGAAUUACUGGGCGUAAAGCGCGCGUAGGCGGAUUAGAAAGUUGGGGGUGAAAUCCCGGGGCUCAACCUCGGAACUGCCUCCAAAACUGCUAGUCUAGAGUUCGAGAGAGGUGAGUGGAAUUCCGAGUGUAGAGGUGAAAUUCGUAGAUAUUCGGAGGAACACCAGUGGCGAAGGCGGCUCACUGGCUCGAUACUGACGCUGAGGUGCGAAAGUGUGGGGAGCAAACAGGAUUAGAUACCCUGGUAGUCCACACCGUAAACGAUGAAUGCCAGUCGUCGGGUAGUAUACUAUUUCGGUGACACACCUAAACGGAUUAAGCAUUCCGCCUGGGGAGUACGGUCGCAAGAUUAAACUCAAAGGAAUUGACGG
This 860-nucleotide ribosomal RNA is filed under the name uncultured marine bacterium. RNAcentral describes it as "bacterial SSU rRNA". It matches the Rfam family "Bacterial small subunit ribosomal RNA", at positions 8 to 916 of the family's 1533-position model. The record is from RNAcentral.